GCNGGCCUACACAUGCAAGUCGAGGGGUAGAAGUUACUUGUAACUUUGAGACCGGCGCACGGGUGCGUAACGCGUAUGCAACCUACCUUUUACAGGGGAAUAGCCCAGAGAAAUUUGGAUUAAUGCCCCAUGGUAUAUUUAGAUGGCAUCAUCUGAUUAUUAAAGUUCCAACGGUAAAAGAUGGGCAUGCGUCCUAUUAGCUAGAUGGUAAGGUAACGGCUUACCAUGGCAACGAUAGGUAGGGGUCCUGAGAGGGAGAUCCCCCACGCUGGUACUGAGACACGGACCAGACUCCUACGGGAGGCAGCAGUGAGGAAUAUUGGACAAUGGGCGCAAGCCUGAUCCAGCCAUGCCGCGUGCAGGAAGACGCAUCUAUGGUGUGUAAACUGCUUUUGUACGGGAAGAAACACUCCUACGUGUAGGAGCUUGACGGUACCGUAAGAAUAAGGAUCGGCUAACUCCGUGCCAGCAGCCGCGGUAAUACGGAGGAUCCAAGCGUUAUCCGGAAUCAUUGGGUUUAAAGGGUCCGUAGGCGGUUUAUUAAGUCAGUGGUGAAAGCCCGCAGCUCAACUGUGGAACGGCCAUUGAUACUGAUAGACUUGAAUUACUGGGAAGUAACUAGAAUAUGUAGUGUAGCGGGUCCGUAGGCGGUUUAUUAAGUCAGUGGUGAAAGCCCGCAGCUCAACUGUGGAACGGCCAUUGAUACUGAUAGACUUGAAUUACUGGGAAGUAACUAGAAUAUGUAGUGUAGCGGUGAAAUGCUUAGAUAUUACAUGGAAUACCAAUUGCGAAGGCAGGUUACUACCGGUGGAUUGACGCUGAUGGACGAAAGCGUGGGGAGCGAACAGGAUUAGAUACCCUGGUAGUCCACGCCGUAAACGAUGGAUACUAGCUGUUGGGAGCAAUUUCAGUGGCUAAGCGAAAGUGAUAAGUAUCCCACCUGGGGAGUACGUUCGCAAGAAUGAAACUCAAAGGAAUUGACGGGGGCCCGCACAAGCGGUGGAGCAUGUGGUUUAAUUCGGUGAUACGCGAGGAACCUUACCAAGGCUUAAAUGUAGAUUGACAGGUUUGGAAACAGACUUUUCUUAGGAAACAGACUUUUCUUAUGACAAUUUACNAGGUGCUGCAUGGUUGUCGUCAGCUCGUGCCGUGAGGUGUCAGGUUAAGUCCUAUAACGAGCGCAACCCCUGUUGUUAGUUGCCAGCGAGUCAAGUCGGGAACUCUAACAAGACUGCCAGUGUAAACUGUGAGGAAGGUGGGGAUGACGUCAAAUCAUCACGGCCCUUACGCCUUGGGCUACACACGUGCUACAAUGGACGGUACAGAGAGCAGCCACUGGGUGACCAGGAGCGAAUCUAUAAAACCGUUCUCAGUUCGGAUCGGAGUCUGCAACUCGACUCCGUGAAGCUGGAAUCGCUAGUAAUCGGAUAUCAGCCAUGAUCCGGUGAAUACGUUCCCGGGCCUUGUACACACCGCCCGUCAAGCCAUGGAAGCUGGGGGUACCUGAAGUCGGUGACCGUUAAGGAGCUGCCUAGGGUAAAACUGGUAACUGGGGCUAAGUCGUAAC
This 1567-nucleotide ribosomal RNA is filed under the name uncultured bacterium. Its description in RNAcentral is "bacterial SSU rRNA". It matches the Rfam family "Bacterial small subunit ribosomal RNA". The record is from RNAcentral.